Molecule: ribosomal RNA, 474 nt
Filed under: Salmonella enterica subsp. enterica serovar Derby
Lineage: Bacteria; Pseudomonadati; Pseudomonadota; Gammaproteobacteria; Enterobacterales; Enterobacteriaceae
Description: partial 23S ribosomal RNA
Rfam family: Bacterial large subunit ribosomal RNA
Source: RNAcentral
CCGUUAUAACCGGCGAUUUCCGAAUGGGGAAACCCAGUGUGACUCGUCACACUAUCAUUAACUGAAUCCAUAGGUUAAUGAGGCGAACCGGGGGAACUGAAACAUCUAAGUACCCCGAGGAAAAGAAAUCAACCGAGAUUCCCCCAGUAGCGGCGAGCGAACGGGGAGGAGCCCAGAGCCUGAAUCAGCAUGUGUGUUAGUGGAAGCGUCUGGAAAGGCGCGCGAUACAGGGUGACAGCCCCGUACACAAAAGCGCAUGUGCUGUGAGCUCGAUGAGUAGGGCGGGACACGUGGUAUCCUGUCUGAAUAUGGGGGGACCAUCCUCCAAGGCUAAAUACUCCUGACUGACCGAUAGUGAACCAGUACCGUGAGGGAAAGGCGAAAAGAACCCCGGCGAGGGGAGUGAAAAAGAACCUGAAACCGUGUACGUACAAGCAGUGGGAGCACAGGUUUACCUGUGUGACUGCGUACCUU